Molecule: ribosomal RNA, 253 nt
Filed under: uncultured bacterium
Lineage: Bacteria
Description: partial 16S ribosomal RNA
Rfam family: Bacterial small subunit ribosomal RNA
Source: RNAcentral
UACAGAGGGUGCAAGCGUUAAUCGGAAUUACUGGGCGUAAAGCGCACGUAGGCGGUUUUUUAAGUCACAUGUGAAAGCCCCGGGCUCAACCUGGGAAUUGCAUUUGAAACUGGGAAACUAGAGUGUGUGAGAGGGGGGUAGAAUUCCAAGUGUAGCGGUGAAAUGCGUAGAGAUUUGGAGGAAUACCAGUGGCGAAGGCGGCCCCCUGGCACAACACUGACGCUCAGGUGCGAAAGCGUGGGGAGCAAACAGG